Photinus pyralis (common eastern firefly) is the source of this 1471-nucleotide long non-coding RNA. RefSeq lists it as uncharacterized. The transcript is spliced from 3 exons. Lineage: Eukaryota; Metazoa; Arthropoda; Insecta; Coleoptera; Lampyridae. The record is from RefSeq and is a predicted model, not a curated record.
GUUUGUGUGCUCCCAUACUAAUACCGAUUUUACCUAUAACGUAUUUGUGAAUAAGCACGUAUUAACACUAGCUGAAAAUUUUAUUUAUGUCGCACGGCAAUGAUGAAUGAGAGAAUUGCGAUUAGUUUAAAUGGAGGGUUAAAUGUCAGCAGAAAAGAAGACGGUGGUGUCGCGUCAAGUGUUAAUUGUACCGUACUCGGUCGCAAUCGGUAGAUUAAAGAAAAGACGCGGAUACUGUCGAUACGGUACUUACUUUAUAUUGCGCAAUUAUUUUGUUAAUUUCAAUCUAAAAUUCUCGCACAUCUCCUUUAAUAGGAUUACGAGCAUGUUAAGAUUAGGCUUAUUAUUCAGCUCGCUCGUGUCGCAAGUGAUCCCGGGUGAAUAAGAGUUAUUUGUGUUUUUCAUAUGGCGUUAUACGGUUAUCAUUUCCAUUGUUUCCGAUGGGUUGCGAAAUCUGUAAAUUUUUUAACUCCAACUUUAGUAAGUAUAUUAAAGAAACGAGUUUCAUAAGAACGAGAAUGAGUUUCCGAAUGGAAGUGUGCGACAAAGUCUAAUGAAACGAACAAAUAUAACGCGUCACAGGAUCGUCACAAUAACAUCAAAGCAAAAAACAUUAUGUUUGGAAAUUAAAAUGAAUCUUCAAAAAAUUCAAUUAAACUGUAGUAAGGUUUUGACAUCAAUACAUUGUUGACCUUGAUUGACGUGAUGGAUCUUAAAUUACACAAUUUGAGCAAAUGUAAAUGUCAUUUAACAUCAUCAUCGAUUCCAAUACUACCUUCCUUUUGCAGCACUGUUCAUUUAAUUUUUCGAAGUAAUGGAUAAUGAAAUUAUUAGUACUCCAUCGGAGUUACGAGAAGUAGCGUAAAGUACAAUCAGUAAUUUGUUACCAAACAAGUCGAGGGAACGUUCGGCGAAUUGUGUACUACAAACGAAGUCGCUGAAUAAGUAAAACGAAAACGUCGUCUUCCUUGUGGUUAAUAUACCGAUUCUAUGUUACGCCCAUGCUUAAAUAUUCACAAAAAGUUGGACUAGUGUGCUAAAUUAAAAGCAUAUUUUAACGAUUGCCGAAGAGAUCCAGUCUUGAGCUACAGAACGUCAAUCAAUUAUUCUUUUCUAGAGAAGGCAGAUGUCAAAUACAUUUAGCACAGUAAGUUGUACUUUUCACCAGACGAGGGGCGUAGGUGCUGAAGGAGGAACUGCAGUAAUUAGUUUCAUAAUAGAAGUUGCUGUUGCUGGAUGUUUAGAUAAAGUAGAAAUAUGUGUAUCAUUAUUAGCUUCCACACUUAAUGGAAGCGUUAUGAUUAAAAAACUCCUGAGUAUGUCCAGAUUCUGUAUUCUCAUUGCUUGCUAGUCAGCAACAAAUAAUAAUACAGGGCGUGUGGUACUGCUUAGGUUGUGUACACAAGUUUGUACAUGCUAAUAAAGUAAUGUAUCUUAAGUAAGUUUAUCUUACCUUUAGUUUUUCGGCGAU